AAAACCAGACAACAUAACCACCUACCCACCCAUCCACCCAACCAAAACCAGACAACAUAACCACCUACCCACCCAUCCACCCAACCAAAAUAAAAACCAAGAAAGCAGGGAAAAAAACCCAAACCCAAACCAGCCACCAUUCCUUCCCGCCUCUCUCCUACAAUGUAAGCAGGUAAUUUUGUUACAUGGAAGGUUUCUGCGGGGAGAGGGCUGAUGAUUUGUGGAUUUCUUGAGCUGGAGAUUAUUAGAGCUUCAUGCCCUAUUAACAUGUCUAGAAGAGCUCUCUGUUUUCUAGGUGCAGGGACACAGUCUACAAAUCACAGCCAUCAAGGAAAUGCUUUACAAAGAGCUUUCUGAAUGCUGCGUUACAUUUGUGGGCAAAUUCAGGAUAACCCCAAAGAUACGGGGCUUUGAUAAUGAAGCAGGCCCCGAUACUGGCUCCCAGGGCUUAUACCCACCUCUGCUACACCCACGUGAGUAUCAGAACAAUGUGCCCUUUAAUUUUAUACAG
RNAcentral lists this long non-coding RNA (511 nucleotides) under Aotus nancymaae (Ma's night monkey). Its description in RNAcentral is "lncRNA (ENSANAG00000039350.1)". Lineage: Eukaryota; Metazoa; Chordata; Mammalia; Primates; Aotidae. The record is from RNAcentral.